Molecule: ribosomal RNA, 505 nt
Filed under: uncultured bacterium
Lineage: Bacteria
Description: bacterial SSU rRNA
Rfam family: Bacterial small subunit ribosomal RNA
Source: RNAcentral
CAGGAUGAACGCUAGCUACAGGCUUAACACAUGCAAGUCGAGGGGCAGCAUGAAUCAAGCUUGCUUGAUUUGAUGGCGACCGGCGCACGGGUGCGUAACACGUAUCCAAUCUACCCAUGGCUCAGGGAUAGCCUUUCGAAAGAAAGAUUAAUACCUGACGGUUUCAUGAGCCCGCAUGGACUUAUGAAUAAAGAUUUAUCGGCGAUGGAUGAGGAUGCGUCCGAUUAGAUAGUAGGCGGGGUAACGGCCCACCUAGUCGACGAUCGGUAGGGGCUCUGAGAGGAGGAUCCCCCACAUUGGAACUGAGACACGGUCCAAACUCCUACGGGAGGCAGCAGUGAGGAAUAUUGGUCAAUGGGCGAGAGCCUGAACCAGCCAAGUAGCGUGAAGGGAUGACUGCCCUAUGGGUUGUAAACCUCUUUUGUCUGGGAAUAAAGUGAGCCACGUGUGGCUUUUUGUAUGUACCUUACGAAUAAGCAUCGGCUAAUUCCGUGCCAGCCGCGGC